This 390-nucleotide ribosomal RNA is filed under the name uncultured bacterium. RNAcentral describes it as "bacterial SSU rRNA". It matches the Rfam family "Bacterial small subunit ribosomal RNA", at positions 28 to 417 of the family's 1533-position model. The record is from RNAcentral.
GACGAACGCUGGCGGCGUGCUUAACACAUGCAAGUCGAGCGGUAAGGCCCUUUCGGGGGUACGACGAGCGGCGAACGGGUGAGUAACACGUGGGUGACCUGCCCUCAGCUCUGGGAUAAGCCUGGGAAACCGGGGUCUAAUACUGGAUAUGACUCCAUGACGCAUGUUGUGGGGUGGAAAGCCUUGUGCGGCUGAGGAUGGGCCCGCGGCCUAUCAGCUUGUUGGUGGGGUGAGGCCUACCAAGGCGACGACGGGUAGCCGGCCUGAGAGGGCGACCGGCCACACUGGGACUGAGACACGGCCCAGACUCCUACGGGAGGCAGCAGUGGGGAAGUCUUGCGCAAUGGGCGAAAGCCUGACGCAGCGACGCCGCGUGAGGGAUGACGGCCU